CACAUGCAGUCGAGCGGUAACAGGAGAAGCUUGCUUCUCGCUGACGAGCGGCGGACGGGUGAGUAAUACUUAGGAAUCUACCUAGUAGUGGGGGAUAGCUCGGGGAAACUCGAAUUAAUACCGCAUACGACCUACGGGAGAAAGGGGGCAACUUGUUGCUCUCGCUAUUAGAUGAGCCUAAGUCGGAUUAGCUAGUUGGUGGGGUAAAGGCCUACCAAGGCGACGAUCUGUAGCUGGUCUGAGAGGAUGAUCAGCCACACCGGGACUGAGACACGGCCCGGACUCCUACGGGAGGCAGCAGUGGGGAAUAUUGGACAAUGGGGGCAACCCUGAUCCAGCCAUGCCGCGUGUGUGAAGAAGGCCUUUUGGUUGUAAAGCACUUUAAGCAGUGAAGAAGACUCUAUGGUUAAUACCCAUAGACGAUGACAUUAGCUGCAGAAUAAGCACCGGCUAACUCUGUGCCAGCAGCCGCGGUAAUACAGAGGGUGCAAGCGUUAAUCGGAAUUACUGGGCGUAAAGCGAGCGUAGGUGGCUUGAUAAGUCAGAUGUGAAAGCCCCGGGCUUAACCUGGGAACGGCAUCUGAUACUGUUAGGCUAGAGUAGGUGAGAGGAAGGUAGAAUUCCAGGUGUAGCGGUGAAAUGCGUAGAGAUCUGGAGGAAUACCGAUGGCGAAGGCA
This 677-nucleotide ribosomal RNA is filed under the name Psychrobacter faecalis. RNAcentral's name for it is "bacterial SSU rRNA". It matches the Rfam family "Bacterial small subunit ribosomal RNA", at positions 52 to 723 of the family's 1533-position model. The record is from RNAcentral. Lineage: Bacteria; Pseudomonadati; Pseudomonadota; Gammaproteobacteria; Moraxellales; Moraxellaceae.